UACGUAGGGUGCAAGCGUUGUCCGGAAUUAUUGGGCGUAAAGAGCUCGUAGGCGGUCUGUCGCGUCGGCUGUGAAAACCCGGGGCUCAACCCCGAGCCUGCAGUCGAUACGGGCAGACUAGAGUGCGGUAGGGGAGACUGGAAUUCCUGGUGUAGCGGUGAAAUGCGCAGAUAUCAGGAGGAACACCGGUGGCGAAGGCGGGUCUCUGGGCCGAUACUGACGCUGAGGAGCGAAAGCGUGGGGAGCAAACAGG
Molecule: ribosomal RNA, 253 nt
Filed under: uncultured bacterium
Lineage: Bacteria
Description: partial 16S ribosomal RNA
Rfam family: Bacterial small subunit ribosomal RNA
Source: RNAcentral